AGAGUUUGAUCAUGGCUCAGGAUGAACGCUGGCGGCGUGCUUAACACAUGCAAGUCGAACGGAACUCUCUGGAUCAAGGCUUCGGCCAAGUGAAUUUGAGUUUAGUGGCGGACGGGUGAGUAACGCGUGAGGAACCUGCCUUUCAGAGGGGAAUAACAGUUGGAAACGACUGCUAAUACCGCAUAACGCAUAGGAACCGCAUGAUUCUUAUGCCAAAGAUUUUAUCGCUGAAAGAUGGCCUCGCGUCUGAUUAGCUAGUUGGCGGGGUAACGGCCCACCAAGGCGACGAUCAGUAGCCGGACUGAGAGGUUGGCCGGCCACAUUGGGACUGAGAUACGGCCCAGACUCCUACGGGAGGCAGCAGUGGGGAAUAUUGGGCAAUGGGCGCAAGCCUGACCCAGCAACGCCGCGUGAAGGAAGAAGGUCUUCGGAUUGUAAACUUCUUUUAACAGGGACGAUAAUGACGGUACCUGUUGAAUAAGCUCCGGCUAACUACGUGCCAGCAGCCGCGGUAAUACGUAGGGAGCGAGCGUUAUCCGGAUUUACUGGGUGUAAAGGGCGUGUAGGCGGGAUUGCAAGUCAGAUGUGAAAACUCCGGGCUCAACUCGGAGCCUGCAUUUGAAACUGUAGUUCUUGAGUGAUGGAGAGGCAAGCGGAAUUCCUAGUGUAGCGGUGAAAUGCGUAGAUAUUAGGAGGAACACCAGUGGCGAAGGCGGCUUGCUGGACAUUAACUGACGCUAAGGCGCGAAAGCGUGGGGAGCAAACAGGAUUAGAUACCCUGGUAGUCCACGCCGUAAACG
Molecule: ribosomal RNA, 800 nt
Filed under: uncultured bacterium
Lineage: Bacteria
Description: bacterial SSU rRNA
Rfam family: Bacterial small subunit ribosomal RNA
Source: RNAcentral